UGGAACUGUCAAGGGAUUGGGAAC
Molecule: non-coding RNA, 24 nt
Filed under: Arabidopsis thaliana (thale cress)
Lineage: Eukaryota; Viridiplantae; Streptophyta; Magnoliopsida; Brassicales; Brassicaceae
Source: RNAcentral